AACGAACGCUGGCGGCAUGCCUAACACAUGCAAGUCGAACGAGACCUUCGGGCCUAGUGGCGCACGGGUGCGUAACGCGUGGGAACCUGCCCUUAGGUUUGGAAUAACUCCCCGAAUGGGGUGCUAAUACCGGCUAAUGUCUUCCGACCAAAGAUUUAUCGCCUUUGGAUGGGCCCGCGUUGGAUUAGCUAGUUGGUAGGGUAAAAGCCUACCACGGCGACGAUCCAUAGCUGGACUGAGAGGAUGAUCAGCCACACUGGGACUGAGACACGGCCCAGACUCCGACGGGAGGCGGCAGUGGGGAAUAUUGGACAAUGGGCGAAAGCCUGAGCCAGCAGUGCCGCGUGAGUGAUGAAGGCGGUAGGGUUGUAAAGCUCUUACCCGGGAUGAUAAUGACAGUACCGGGAGAAUAAGCACCGGCUAACUCCGUG
RNAcentral lists this ribosomal RNA (431 nucleotides) under uncultured bacterium. Its description in RNAcentral is "partial 16S ribosomal RNA". It matches the Rfam family "Bacterial small subunit ribosomal RNA", at positions 29 to 507 of the family's 1533-position model. The record is from RNAcentral.